RNAcentral lists this ribosomal RNA (510 nucleotides) under uncultured bacterium. RNAcentral's name for it is "bacterial SSU rRNA". It matches the Rfam family "Bacterial small subunit ribosomal RNA", at positions 999 to 1509 of the family's 1533-position model. The record is from RNAcentral.
GGCAGAGAUGCCUUGGUGCCUUCGGGAACGCUGAGACAGGUGCUGCAUGGCUGUCGUCAGCUCGUGUUGUGAAAUGUUGGGUUAAGUCCCGNAACGAGCGCAACCCUUAUCCUUUGUUGCCAGCGAUUCGGUCGGGAACUCAAAGGAGACUGCCGGUGAUAAACCGGAGGAAGGUGGGGAUGACGUCAAGUCAUCAUGGCCCUUACGAGUAGGGCUACACACGUGCUACAAUGGCGCAUACAAAGAGAAGCGACCUCGCGAGAGCAAGCGGACCUCAUAAAGUGCGUCGUAGUCCGGAUCGGAGUCUGCAACUCGACUCCGUGAAGUCGGAAUCGCUAGUAAUCGUGGAUCAGAAUGCCACGGUGAAUACGUUCCCGGGCCUUGUACACACCGCCCGUCACACCAUGGGAGUGGGUUGCAAAAGAAGUAGGUAGCUUAACCUUCGGGAGGGCGCUUACCACUUUGUGAUUCAUGACUGGGGUGAAGUCGUAACAAGGUAAGCGUAGCGAG